Long non-coding RNA from Megachile rotundata (alfalfa leafcutting bee), 823 nucleotides. Lineage: Eukaryota; Metazoa; Arthropoda; Insecta; Hymenoptera; Megachilidae. The record is from RefSeq and is a predicted model, not a curated record.
AUUUCUCUGAUUUUACAAAUUCCGAUUCUUUAUCGAUAAAUAAAACUGUUUAAGUUUGAUGUGGCGAAAGAUGACGGAAAAUGUGGUGAAUUUCGACAAACAUUACGAUGAGUGCUCCAUAAAAAAUGUAUAUUCCACCCGCAAGAUCUUAACGUCUUCUUUUAAUUAUAGAACGUACAGGGCUCGUUUUAUGGUGGUCGAUUCUAUUACGGUCUGUAACACACGCCAUUCGCUCCAUAUAACGUAAUGGGCAAUUCCAGAAGCGUACACCUUCAUCGGAUUUGUAUUAAGCAGAAUUCCAACUGGCAUAAAAAAAGCCUAGGUCAAUAUUCGAUCACCGCAGUUACCAUGUUGGAACGUUUAACGACUUUAAUUAGAACGAUGGCUGAUUGGUAGCAAAAACAGAGCCGUUUUAACGACACGGCUGAAAUCGAUACUCGAAACGAACGUAUAUUUGCAAGAAAUAAAAUCCCAAUAUACGUUGAUUAUAUCUGUUGUUUAACCAUUUGUAUUUUAGAAAUAAUAUAGGUCACUGAUUUAAAUAUUCCAGUAAUAUGUGUACACUUUAAUUUAAUUAAUGCACGCAAGAAUAACGUAGUGACACAAAAAUUAUGAUUAAAUUAAUUUAUUCAAAAAUCAUGUUCCAUCAAAAAAUAUAUUCCUAUAACUAAAUCAUAAAAAUAAUUAUUUAACCUAAAGGUAAAAGAUUCCGCAUAUCAGUCAAAAUUUUGAGAAGCUUCACGCUUCGUAAUAUAAUGUUCAAAGAACACCACGAAGAUACUGUCUGUUCACUUAAUCGUAAAAAUAAAAUUAUUUUUCUAAG